AGAAAGAAAGAAAGAAAGAAAGAAAGAAAGAAAGAAAGAAAGAAAGAAAGAAAAAUGUACAAUCUCUUUUCAGGUGAAGUUCUUGUGGGAACAUGUGAGAAGAUCUGGAGAUAUGGAAUUUGAGAGAACAAUUUGAAGGAGACACAGGGUCAAAGCCUCAUUUCCUCCUGCCAGAGAGAUGAAAUGAGAAAUACUGUAAUUUUAGAAUUGGCAUAAACUAGUGUUGAGGAGAUACAGAUAAUCUGCAGAAAUGAACGAUCUUAUCUAAAUUGUUCAUUCCAUAAGGUCAUCUUUUUUCUUCUGUUUCCAUAAUAACCAAGUGUUAGAUAAUAACCAAGUGUUAGGUAAGAAAGACUCUGGAGACUCAGCUCGUUCAACUUCUUUUAUUCGUUCUUAUAGGAUUGAAAACUGUAGUUGCGGUAGCUCCUUUUACAGCAGUGCUGUCCACAGCUUCGACCAGUGACGGCUGUUUAUUUUCAUGGUUCUGCAACUCGGCCAAUCAGGUAGCCUGCUUAAACCUGCGGACAUGUCACAGCUCGAACCUCGCUUGAAACACCCAGGACCUAUUAGAGAUGAUUACUAUGAAGUAGAGGACCUCCUUGAUUCCUGCCGACGAUAAGGGGUCCUACAAUACCAGGAGGAACCAUGGUAGAGGGGGCAGCAUGUCGGGCUUUACAUCUUACCAGCGUUCUGGAGCCCGACAUUACAGCUGUGCCUUGGAGCUGUGAAUCCCUGAUCUUCACUUUAAGCCUGGCAUUGCAGCUUGGUAGCCACUUGGCUGUGGGUGACAUUUCAUAGCCUGAGAGCUGUGUAUCUCAGGUGUAAGCUUCGGAGUGUGGGAGGGUUGUAGACUCUUUUGGCAGCCUUGGAGCUCAGAUAAUACAGACAGAUGUCUCUUUGAACUGUGGAACUGUUUGGCUUUAAGACAGUGCUGGGUUUUAGGCGAAUUGAUAAUUGUUAUUUGGGAUACUAAUGGGAGGCAGGGUGGAGGGAGGAAUGUAAUAUUAGCUUAGGCGUGGUGUAAUUAUGCACAGGGUAGUGGUGUGGAUAAUUAGGUAAUGGGUGGAUUAGGGUGGGGCGGAUUCUAGGAAAGUGGGCAGGGGUGAAUAAAACAAUGUUGGGAGUUAACUGUUUUCAACGGUGACUUUUCACAGCGAAAAUGGAGCCCAUUUUUGGCCACAAUGGCCACCUGCAGCCCUCUGCCCUCCCAACUCCAUUUUUGCUGGCAGAGACACUGCAGAAGGGUCCUUUGCUGUUUCCAGGCCAACCCUACGGGCCCAAUCUGAGCAUCCCAUGGGCCAGAUGCGGCCUGCAGGCCUUGAGUUUGA
This is a non-coding RNA of Notechis scutatus (mainland tiger snake), 1328 nucleotides long. The record is from RefSeq and is a predicted model, not a curated record. NCBI's taxonomy places the organism in Eukaryota, Metazoa, Chordata, Lepidosauria, Squamata, Elapidae.